This 5174-nucleotide long non-coding RNA is filed under the name Sorghum bicolor (sorghum). RNAcentral describes it as "long non-coding RNA (SBIC_LNC016895)". Lineage: Eukaryota; Viridiplantae; Streptophyta; Magnoliopsida; Poales; Poaceae. The record is from RNAcentral.
UUAAUCUUAGGUCCCCAGAAUCUAUUGCAGGUUUUUUUACUGUUCAUCGGUUGAGGUCGAGUGGGCGUGCAGCAUUAGUAGACAGUGGUGCAAAGCAGGUUGGAAGCAGCCAGCCAACUCGGCAGUGAAGCUCCUAGCUCUAUCACCUGGUUGCAUCGCCAAUGGUACGACCAUUAUUCUGCUUAUUGCUGCCUCCCUAAUUUGUGCCUUUCUCCAUAGGGGAUCUUUUGUUCUCUCUAUCCUUUUUAUCCAAAUCACUCUUCAAACUUAACCAAGGGGAUGAUGUUAUAACUUUCCUUCAGAUAUCACCAUUGGACAUAUUGCUGUAUUCCUUAGCAUUAUCGAAUGUUGCUAUAUGAACAGUUCAGUUUAUUAACUGAUAGUGCUACAUCAACCAAGGGGCUAAAUCAUAGACAGAUUUGGAGCAUUACCUCUGAACUUAUCGAUCUGUUCUUAAAGUUGCUAUGUGAACCUGGCUGUAAUUUAACUUAAGGAUGAGCAUGGGGUGAUCCAUGGAUACCCUUGGGAUCAAUGGAUCAGUCCAUGCCCAUCCUAAUUUAGCCCCUAAGCAGUCUAUUGAUCCCUCAACCAUUAAUGACAUAUUUUAUUUAAACAGUAUAAUGGCUUGUUAUAAUUCAUAAAGCAGCCUAAACAUUGCAUCAUCUCUGAUUACUUGUGUAGAAAAAGUUCCCAUGAAAACCAUAUGGAACUCUCUGAGGCAAAGUAAUUUUUGCUACUGGCUCCUCUGAAAAUCUCUUGGCAUCGAUAAUAUAAACCUACAGAAGACAAGAAAUCUGAUAAAUUAAGGAAUGCAUGGAAAUAAUGAUACAAUGUAGCAUGCUUUUUAAGUAGACAGUUUAACUACCUGAGAGCUGUUUGUUCCCUCAUCAUGGACAUAAGUGACUAUCCAUCCAUCAUCUUCAUCGAUUCCAUUUUUCUUUGCAACAAACUGAACUCCAGAGCAGAAUUGUUUCUCUUGCAAAGUGUGGUACUCUACUGAGAUCAAUUGUUUGUUUUCCUAGAGAUGUUUCUGAUACUUUAGUAUGUACUAACAGCGAUAUAUCUGGUACUUUGUACAACACUAAUAGCCACUAACCUUGUCCGGCAUGUUGAAGUGUAGCUUUGCUAUCAUCUUGAACUUAAACAAGCCUGUAUCAUUAUACAGAACUAAUUACAUACAACAUUAGAGAUGAUUCAAAUAACUUAGAACAACAUGAACACAUGCCACGAAGUGUAUGCUAAGAUUGGACAACAAGAACUUUACAAUAUUUCAGAACUCUAUACAGUAAGAAUGUUACCUGUUUUACUAGUGGCUAAUGAGUCAGCAACUUGAGCAUAUCCAUACUUGUUUUGAACACCUACAAAUUUGUCACUAAUGACAGGGAAAUCCAUUGCAACUUUCUCACUGGUAAUGUAACCUUCAUGUACACUACCGUUUUCCAAAUUUAACCUCCACUCAUAUGGGCGAGAAAAGAGAGUGCCAUCUAGUGAAGGAUCAAAAUCUUCUGAAUCCUUAUCUGGUUGGAGAAAUGCCCUUCCAUACCAUUUCGAUUUGUCAACUCUAUGGCGUCCACUAGGGAUAAUAGAACCAAGUAGUCGACAGCCUCUGAUAACAACCUGUUAAUAGGCUUUUUAUAAAGUAGAUAAAAGAGGAAAAAUAUGAACAUCUCUUGAUACAUGUUAUUAGUAUCAUCCAUAGAGAAGGAAUAUUUUCAUAUGGGCAGUUUGGAUUGUGAUGCUUUUUGUGUAUAUUUGUCAUGGUGUAUCUAUAUUUUGUAGUAAUUACCUCAUUUUCAUCCUCAAAGCAGUUAAAUAAAUGGUAACUGCAGUGGUUCUCGACAUCGAACCAUAUGAUGGACUCAGCAUCACCAAAACGAGGCAUUACCCCAAUACGUGAUUUUCCAUUCAUAUCAUUCUCGAUAAAUCUGAAGAUAAAUAUGUACAUGUUAUUAUUAGCAGAAUUUGUAGCGUAUAUACUCUCCAAAAGGUUAUUCCCACGGUAAAGAUGAUACAUGCAGAGUUGACUCACGGCUUUCGUAAGAAUGUCCUGGAUAUGCCGAAUCUGAGAGGAUAGUCCAUUAUAAUAUUGUACCUAUAAUAUGAAAGAAUUGUUUAAGAAAAGGUGAUGUUUAAAAGAAAGCUAUAAUGACUCCUAAACAAAAAUAAAGCAUAUACCUUUUAGUUACUCCAAUGUCAUGAAUGAGUUUCCCUUCCUCAAAUUUGAGAUCAGCCUUAUGAACAAGCCUCUCACCGUCAGCUAAUUCAUGCGAAAUGGGAUCAAUAGUUAAAUGCAGUUGUAAUAGAAGGAAGACAUUUUUUUUCUCUUUCACAAAUUUUGGUGGUGUAUGCUAUCAGUGAGCAACUAAGGUAAUGCCAGAGAUAGAUGAAAACUUGAUAUUAAUGUAUCUAUUUAUUUAUUUUUCACAUUCGUAUUUGGAAUGGUUUAUCAUGAUCAGUUAAUUAAGCUACUAACCUAAAUACUGUUACUUCUAUCUUGAUGUAUUAUUUUAGCUGUUAGAUGGCGGAUUGAUCAACAUUUCCCAACAACUUACGUGAAAUUACUCCAAGCACAUAGUGGGGCUUUUCAGGAUUUGUCCCCAUCAUCACCAGUUCUCCACUCUCAUGAAUUUUCUGUACAAACAAGUCAUAAUGUGAGCAUGUGUUGUUGAAGAGUUACAGUUAUCUAAUAAAAAUCUUUUUUUUUGCGAGCGAUCUAAUAAAAAACUUGAAUAAGUUAGUUCCUAUGCACAUUCUAAAUAGCAUUUAAAAUGCUCCAUUCUUGUGUGCUUAUUGAAUUGUGAACCAUUGGUCUCUAAUAAAAUCAGGUGAGGAAACUCCCCCCCCCCCCACUUCACUUUCCAAAAAAAGUGAACCAUAGUGAGAUCUUGUGGGUUGAAAAUCAUUUUCCUGUGGAUUGGUAAACCAUAGUGUGAACUUGUGCUUAUUAAAUGAAGAUCAGAAUUAAUGAACUCUAAUUUUUCUUUCUUUGCAAGGAGUUUGUAGGAGAAAUAAUUGACAGCUGUCAUUUCGUACCUUUGGGUGACUAGUGAAAGGUUGGUUCCAAGCUCCAUUGAUGUUAUAAGGUCCUAGUGUGUUGAGAUUACUGAUGUUGAUUUCGUACGGAAGAUGGUUCUCCGUGACAGCAAAAGCUCGUCCAGCGUGCUCAAAUAUGUUAGUAUUUGCGCUAUCCUUCACAGCCUUUUCAAAUCUCAACUAUGCCAUAAAACUUCUGUCAGAAGAAGCGAUAUACCAAUUACAUCUACAAAUCUUUCUUCAUGAGAUUAUAAUUUCCCAAUAAAAUGUAAUGGAAUAUCUGACAUAGAAAUUAUUAGUGUUUAUCAUAAUUAACUUUACCAAUUAAAAUUGAAUUUACCCUUUAUGAUUAUUUUCACUGUCAAGUUCUGUAAGACUUACAAUAUUAAGAACAAAUGCAACUAGUGUUGCAUAGGGUUGCCCAUCAGCAGAUGGCACAAAAGCCACUUGAUUCUUUCUCUCCAACUGAAAGGUGUCUGAGUUCACAUACUUGUUUCUGUACGAUAUCUUCCAUUCUCCUAGACUGCUCUUGUCAAAGUACACAGCAUGUAACAUUCCAUGACCUUCGUAAUACAUAUAUGAUGUUGAACCAAAUAUGGAAUCUGCGAUGGUCUGUGUUGGGUUGAGAGGGUUCGGACCUGUUAAUUAAAGUAGCACGAUACAUCAAGACAUGGAUAUUCUCUUUGAGUUUCUGAUGUCGCAGGUCCAAAAAUUAUACAUCAGUUACUUGGAUUGGAUGAGAGCUUCCUAAAACAUUUUACAGGUUUUGUGUUGUGAAUGUGGAACCCAUCGAUCCAACUGUGCGAGGAGUAAUUCAUAUUAUAUUUUACAUGGCUUAAGGCUCACCAUUUCUUAUGUAGACACCCUCUGGAAAAUCUCCAGGGACCUCCCCGUCAAGAUUGUUGAGUAAAACUGCCUCGUCCAUUUCAUUGACAGGUCGAAAAUUCCCCUGUAGAGGACUUGGUCGGUUUUAUUUGUCUAAUUGUAGCGAGUAAUAUGCAUGAGUUCAGUAACAUCAUGAGUUGGGAAAAUUUACUCAUAUAUAGACAUUGCAAAUUGGGUAUUAACUAACAGAAGCACCUUUGGCACUGUCAGUAGAUGGAGAAAGUACUGCAUAAUUACAACAGAGUAACAAAAAUAUGCUGAAAAGAGCCAGUGCAACCUAGCUAUAGCUGUUUCCCCAAAUGCCACAAGACACGAUUAACGAUAACAUUUUUAAGUUGAACUUGAAAGUAGUAUCAAGGAAUGCAGGGAGAAAAGAGUACGUUUUUUUACCUCAUUCAGAGAAGGCUGCUCAGAGAAUCUGUAAGCUCUGUCUAUGAAUCGCUCAAGGAGAUUUGAAGAGACUGACUUCAGAGUUUGCGACAUUUCCUGUAUAUGCUUCUUCAAUCCAGAAGAUGGUGGAACCUAAACCGACGGCACGAAUUAUGUUUUGAUCUAAAUUAAUAGAACGCCACCUUGCAAUACGCAAAGAUCCAAGUUACUAUUGUUCAAGGUAUAUAUUGGAAUCCUGCAAAACUGUAGUAGGAUGCUACGGCCACGUUGUUACUUGUUACUCUGUUACUGCUAUAGAUGCACAGUAUAUGCUAGCUUAUCUACCAGUGCGUUGAAUUGCAUCCUACACUCAUUCAUCUAGUAACAAGGGGUUUCAAAACUGACAGGCUUGAAUUGAAGCUCUUUUUGCCACGCACAGCCCCUGUGCAGUGUGCAGUGCAGGAAUACAAUACAAAGCUGACAAAGACAAGGAUCAGCAACGAACAGGUUACUCUACCUUGAUGGCAUUUGGCGGAUUGAAGGGGAGUGCAUGAUCUGGAGCCCUGCGGCUGUGGAUGCACCUGCUGCUGCUGCUGGUGGUGGUCGGUUUCAGUCCAGCUCUGAACAUGGCGUCGUCGACUCGAUCGUCGUAGCCGUAGCCCGCGCGCAGGGAUUAAAGUUAACAAUGGCUUUGUGAUCGAGGUGUGUCCAUGCCUUGGCGCUGUGGCCUUGGUUAUAUUAGGCCUUGUUUAGUUCUCUCCAAAAUCUAAAAACUUUUCAAGAUUUCUCGUCAUAUCGAAUCUUGUGUUACAUGUAUGGAGCAUUAAAUGUAGAUAAAAAAAUAACUAAUUGUACAGUUUGUUUGUAAUUUACGAGACGAAUUUUUU